This 1109-nucleotide unclassified non-coding RNA is filed under the name Hevea brasiliensis (rubber tree). Lineage: Eukaryota; Viridiplantae; Streptophyta; Magnoliopsida; Malpighiales; Euphorbiaceae. The record is from RNAcentral.
AGGCAAAGUACAUCAAAUUUGAAGAGGAAAAGAAUAAAUUGAAGGGAACAAAACCCUUUAAAUUAUUCCUAUUAUAAGAACUUAGAACAACAACAAUAAUAACAAUAAUAAUAGUAACAACAUCCAGUAAAAACUCUUGGAAUAAAAUGGGACUAAAAAAAGUUGAGAAACUGAGUUUUCUUGGUUAGUUUCAGAUAUCCUUGAAGAUGGAAAACAAAUCACCAUUGAUGUAGUCAUUAUCGACGAGGCUGACCAAGAAGUAACUGUUCUGAACUUGUUCAAGCAAUUUUCUUGAUGGAUCAGUCUCUGGGUAUAAUUGAGCCCAUCCUCUUGACCAGAUUUCAAAUGCCUCAUCCUUCCAUAUCAUGAAGCUGGCGGGAUCAACGACAGUUGGUUGUAUAAUUUCCUUAGCUGGGAAAACUCCCCAUGUCACAGCGUUGAUGUCGGUUUGGUUGACGUUGGAGAUCCAGUUUCCUUCCUUGUUUACAGCCAUGUAAGUUAGGUAAGGGAAAGACUUGCAUUUCUCAACGAGGGCGUUCAACUUCUCCUGAGAGCAGAAGAACUCCAAGUAUGCCUUUUGAUAAACAUAUCCGCCGGGGCCACCCCAUCCAACAGAAGGAGAGUCGGACUUCUCAGCAUUAACUGCUGGUUGGCUGUUAAUAGUCAGGAAGCCUUUCGUGUUGACCUGACCCAACUUUUCGUUUAUGAUCUUUGUCUCUGGCUGAAGACCAUCUAACUCAGACCAUGGGCAGCUUCUCAGCUUUCCAAGACAGUAGUCCUUGAAUUUCUCGUAGAUAUCUUCCACGCUAUUCAAAGCCGCAGCCCAUUCCUCUUGAAGCUUCUUAUCUCUUGAGCGUGCACGCAUGAACUGAUAGUCGGUAAGUGCUCCGUAUGAUGGAUUUUGAGCAUUGCUCCAUCUACCAUGUGGGUAUUCAUCCCAACCUGUGGUCCUUGAAAUGUAGCUCUUUGGACGAUUCGCCCAAAAUAUAGGACGCACAUCCUCCUUGACACGGAAAAUAUUUGCAGGACGUCUCCAAGGCAAUGGCCUAGAAAUUUUGGACUCUUCGAUUAAUCCAAGAUUCAUCAAAAUGGCCAAUGCUGAUUUCUCC